UCCUCAUUGUACAUGCUGUGUGUAUUUUUAUUACAUACACAGCGCAUGCAAUGUGGACA
Molecule: microRNA precursor, 59 nt
Filed under: Chrysemys picta bellii (western painted turtle)
Lineage: Eukaryota; Metazoa; Chordata; Testudines; Emydidae
Description: Cpi-Mir-460-P2_pre stem-loop
Rfam family: mir-460 microRNA precursor family
Source: RNAcentral